Pseudonaja textilis is the source of this 558-nucleotide non-coding RNA. Lineage: Eukaryota; Metazoa; Chordata; Lepidosauria; Squamata; Elapidae. The record is from RefSeq and is a predicted model, not a curated record.
UCUAUGCGAAUGAAAGAAAAGUGACGCUUCCCUCGCCCGCCCAGCCCUCUGUCCUUCUCAGGUUUACCCUCCUGUGUUUUAAAGCCACCUCUUGUCAGUUACCUUUUGGCACGACUGGCGUGCACAGAUCCUCCGACUAAGCUAACAGGGGUGCCUCCUUCCUUUUGGCGUGAAGGAUUUCAACAGGGACGCCAUCACAGGGACUUCUGAGGAUCCAUCACAAGAUGAGCUCCUUAAGAUCGGACAACAUGCGGGCUCUUCUACAAAUUUUUCUUUGCUUUGUGCUUCUAGCAACAGGCAGUUGUUUGCAGUGUGAAACCUGCCACAGCAACAAGACUUCCUGUACGGGUCCCAUGGAGAACUGCACCGAUGGAGACACCUGCGUCAUUGGGAUUGUGCAAUCUUCUCUGGGUAGCAGACCUGAGUACAUGUUUCACAAAUCCUGUGGCAAAUCUGCUGAGUGUGAUAAUAUCCACAUGCAUUUUGAUUUGGGGAAUGGACACAUGUACCAUAUGAUGCAACAGUGCUGCACAGAGGAAGCCUGCUCCGAAGUUGCAA